RNAcentral lists this ribosomal RNA (1352 nucleotides) under uncultured bacterium. Its description in RNAcentral is "bacterial SSU rRNA". It matches the Rfam family "Bacterial small subunit ribosomal RNA", at positions 28 to 1381 of the family's 1533-position model. The record is from RNAcentral.
AUUGAACGCUGGCGGCAUGCCUUACACAUGCAAGUCGAACGGCAGCACGGAGCUUGCUCUGGUGGCGAGUGGCGAACGGGUGAGUAAUAUAUCGGAACGUACCCUAGAGUGGGGGAUAACGUAGCGAAAGUUACGCUAAUACCGCAUACGAUCUAAGGAUGAAAGUGGGGGAUCGCAAGACCUCAUGCUCGUGGAGCGGCCGAUAUCUGAUUAGCUAGUUGGUAGGGUAAAAGCCUACCAAGGCAUCGAUCAGUAGCUGGUCUGAGAGGACGACCAGCCACACUGGAACUGAGACACGGUCCAGACUCCUACGGGAGGCAGCAGUGGGGAAUUUUGGACAAUGGGCGAAAGCCUGAUCCAGCAAUGCCGCGUGAGUGAAGAAGGCCUUCGGGUUGUAAAGCUCUUUUGUCAGGGAAGAAACGGUGAGAGCUAAUAUCUCUUGCUAAUGACGGUACCUGAAGAAUAAGCACCGGCUAACUACGUGCCAGCAGCCGCGGUAAUACGUAGGGUGCAAGCGUUAAUCGGAAUUACUGGGCGUAAAGCGUGCGCAGGCGGUUUUGUAAGUCUGAUGUGAAAUCCCCGGGCUCAACCUGGGAAUUGCAUUGGAGACUGCAAGGCUAGAAUCUGGCAGAGGGGGGUAGAAUUCCACGUGUAGCAGUGAAAUGCGUAGAUAUGUGGAGGAACACCGAUGGCGAAGGCAGCCCCCUGGGUCAAGAUUGACGCUCAUGCACGAAAGCGUGGGGAGCAAACAGGAUUAGAUACCCUGGUAGUCCACGCCCUAAACGAUGUCUACUAGUUGUCGGGUCUUAAUUGACUUGGUAACGCAGCUAACGCGUGAAGUAGACCGCCUGGGGAGUACGGUCGCAAGAUUAAAACUCAAAGGAAUUGACGGGGACCCGCACAAGCGGUGGAUGAUGUGGAUUAAUUCGAUGCAACGCGAAAAACCUUACCUACCCUUGACAUGGCUGGAAUCCUUGAGAGAUCAGGGAGUGCUCGAAAGAGAACCAGUACACAGGUGCUGCAUGGCUGUCGUCAGCUCGUGUCGUGAGAUGUUGGGUUAAGUCCCGCAACGAGCGCAACCCUUGUCAUUAGUUGCUACGAAAGGGCACUCUAAUGAGACUGCCGGUGACAAGCCGGAGGAAGGUGGGGAUGACGUCAAGUCCUCAUGGCCCUUAUGGGUAGGGCUUCACACGUCAUACAAUGGUACAUACAGAGCGCCGCCAACCCGCGAGGGGGAGCUAAUCGCAGAAAGUGUAUCGUAGUCCGGAUUGUAGUCUGCAACUCGGCUGCAUGAAGUUGGAAUCGCUAGUAAUCGCGGAUCAGCAUGUCGCGGUGAAUACGUUCCCGGGUCU